Podarcis lilfordi (Lilford's wall lizard) is the source of this 15861-nucleotide non-coding RNA. NCBI's taxonomy places the organism in Eukaryota, Metazoa, Chordata, Lepidosauria, Squamata, Lacertidae. The record is from the annotation of a GenBank genome assembly.
UCUGGGCUCAGAACUGCCAGUCUGCUCAAGCUGCUGGUUGUUCAUUGGCAGUGGCAGGGGGAAUUUUUAUCCCCCCCCCUUUCAGGUGAAAAAGCUUGCAGAGGGUGAGUUUGAGCUUGCAGUGCCCAGAGAUGGUGCCCAGGUGUUCUGUCUCAGAGCCCUGUAUUGAUAAGUUCAGUUAAAAGCUAGCAAACAAAAAAACUUCAGGCAGGAAAAAAUGGUGUCCUAUAUCAUCAGGGAUGGCAAAGAUGUUGGUUGAAGCUGAUGGGAGCUGGGAGUCCAAAAACAUCUGGAAAUUUACAGGUUAGUUACCUCUGUCUUAUAGGAUACUUGAUGUUGAGACUCCUGAUUCAGUGCUCUAUGGUGCAUUUACAGCAAGGGUGUGGGCAGAGGGUGGAGUCUUGCCUACAUACAUUUAUAAAACCACACAGUGGCUUAUCAAAGUGUAAAGCUCAAUCACUGACUCAACAGUAUGCUAUAGCAAAGAGAGUGACAGUCCUAGGCUUGGGCAAAUCAUUCUUUUUCAGCCUAACCUACCUCACAAGGUUGUUGUGCAGAUAAAAUAGGGAGGAAAACCAUGUCUGUCAACCUUGCAGGAAGAAUGAUAACCUUGGGCCUUAUGGUAGUAUCAUCAUCAAGAUCUCUCAGGCAAAGACAGGUCUCGUAAUUAUUGUACUUCCCUGCAGGACAAUGGGAAUCUUUCUGAUAAGAAUAACAGAUGAUAUAUCUCAUGGAAUCAUUUCAUAUGCCUUAGGUUGUGGAUACGAUUUAGAAUGUACGCACUUACUUUUUACCUUUCAUGAUACUUAAAUCUGUGUAUUUAUUCUGUGUGUGUCACAGAAACGCACCCCCCAAAUGCUAUAAUUUUCAGUAGUUCAGAAUUUAAUAUGUGUUCUAACAAAGUUUUGGAGGCCAGGAAAAUACUCUGUGAGGCAAGAAGGUAAAAAAAAGUCUGAAGAAGAAUAUUCUGGUGUUAGUUGCAAAAUUCAGGACUCAUUGGACAGGGGAAAAAUAGGUAUUGUGCCUUUUAACAGUUAAACAUAAAAAAGAGGACAGGACUGUGCAAGGAGGGGGUGGGAAAGGGGGAAGCUGAUUCAUUUCAUGUUGAUGGGAGAGUGGAGACAGUCCAGGGCCAGCUGCCAAAACUGUAGGCUGGGAGAGCACUCAAGAGUCACUCCACAGGGAACAGCCUGAAAAGGUAGUGUCUGUUUCUGAUGCUGGAGCAUCCAUCACAUGGUGCAGUGCUGUUGUUGCAUAAGAUGGUAUGAUCACUGGGGUGCCUCGUGGUUCCAAAAUAAUAUGGGUACCUGCCUCCCUCUAUUACAGAUUGUACCAGGUCCACACCAUGGCUUUCUCCUUUAUAACAGGAAAUUCUAAUUGGCUGGUUUACUAGCUGUUGAGGCCUAUCUUUGAUCUUAGCACUGUGGGAUGACUUUGCUAAGAAUGGAGGUAGACGUGUGCCUGCGUAUGGGCCUUAAGCUUCAUGUCACCUCAUGUCAUACAGUCCCAGAUGACUGACAAUUGGGUGGCUGUGCCUAUCUGUCAAAAAUGGUCCACAGGGGGUCGGCUAGUUCUGAGUCUAGUCUUCUGGCUGGACCCAGUUCCCUACCCUUGUUCUAGGGAGAAGAUGGCCUUGUGUCUGGUGAGCUGGGCAGCUGGACCAGUGGUCUGCCUCAGCCAAAGGCAACUUCAUUGUGAACAGUGACAUAGAAAGGCCAGCUGUCUCUUGGGGCCAAAGCAAGCCUAGGUGUCUAAAAUGUGGCAGAGCAGGGCCUUCUCUUCAGUGGCACCAAGCUGAUGAGCAAGGUCAGCUUAGCCAUUCUAUUUACACCUAUUUUGCCCCCCAGAUCCUAACUACAACAACACCUGUUUGAUCAAAACAGUUCCAGGUAUGUAUACGGCAUACAUAGGCUUCUUUGAGUGUAUCAUUUUUUUGUCCAAGGCAGGGCCACCUUUGAACAAUUAAUCCAGGAACAUUCUCUCCCAUCACUAGUGGACACCAUGGUGAGCCAGGUUCACACCUCUACAUCUACAGCAUGAUGUAGAGCUCACCCCUGCCCCAGCAAGCCCUGCAGAGAGGCAACCUAAGAGUCACAGAACUGUAGAUCCACUUCUGAACAUGCUUUGAACCCUUCUCUCCCAGCUCUGAGUCUAGUCUCCUUCAAGAACCACCGACCAAAGCCUUGGACCCAUCCCAGCUUUCCAUUUUCUGCAGAAGGUCCAAGAGCUCCCUGCUCCAAUUCAAGGCCCUGCCAAUCCUCUUGCUCCACCGCUAUCUGGCAAUUUCCAAGCACAACCCUCAUUAGCGAGGAGCAGGACACAGAAGUGGUGGCUUUCGGGCACAUUGCGCAGCCACCACGGCUGCAGAAAAAAGGCAGCCGUGCAUAUGAACUCUCUAGAUCCACCUUGAUCAUUUUGCCCAACGCUGCAGCGUAUAAGGAGCCUAGCUACUGAGAUUCCUCUUCCCGGCAAAUUCAGUUCAGCAAAAGCUUUCAUGUUCAGUACAGUGCAUCAUCUCCUGGGAGCUUCCUUUAACAACACUUAUAAAUGAGAAAACAAGAUAACUUUAGACUGCACAGCUGCGGGGGUGGAAAAUGGGAGGGAGGGGGAGUGUGAAUCCAUCCAUUUGCUCAAAAGGCCACCAAAAUAUAAUGCAUUGCUCUAAUAAGAUUGGAAGGUGUGGGAUUGAUUCAACUUUUCACCCCUUCCCCAAACUGUUAAGAGACAUGCCCCCAAAUUUUGCAGCUCAGUGUCUGCUGUAAAAAGUGGUUCUUUCAGUGAAAUUAGAAGGGAGAACAAUCUGAGGGGGGCGGGGGACUCCUACAGAAUAUAUCCAAAGGGCUACUAUUUUUUUUAAAGGGAAAAAAGGGGGGUUUUUAUUGCUAGGCCACAUUCGCACAAUACAUUUAAAACAGUCUGUGAUACCACUUCAGAUAGUCAUGGCUUCCCCCAAAGAAUUCUGGGAGAUGUAGGUCAAGGGUGCUGAGAAUUGUUAGGAGACCCCUAUCCCUCUCAUAGAGUUACAAUCCUCAACAUGGUUUAAUGGUCCAUAUUUAUGCACAGGAAACUUUGAGAAUUGUAGCUCUAUGACCUACAGCUUUCAAUGUACACACCAGCAGCACCAGGUAUAUGGAGCUGAGGGGGCUUAAGCUUCCCCAAUAUUGAGGGGGGCCGCCCCCUGCUGUCGCUGGGUGCCUCUGAGCACCCCACCCCAACCUCUGCCCAGCAGCUCAGGAGCCAGGCUGUGGCUGGGACAAGUGAAGCAACGAUCACCCAUGUUGUCCCAGCCGCUGCUGAGUUUUGACUCUGUAAAAAAGAGCUUUGGGUGCUGGGUGAGACCUGGUGUGCAAGCAGUGGAUUCUGGGCUACUUGUUGGCAUGUUUAAACCCUGUCUUCACUGAUGCACUGUCUGUAGACUUGUAAAUAAAUGCAAAUAUUACAAAACCCCAAUACUGUAUGCCUCAUGCCCGCGCCUUCCAAAGGAAACCAAACCUGGAUAAGCUCUGCAGCCCUGGAGCUGCUCAGAAAAGUGAAGGGAGAAUAACAAUGUUGCAGAAGCCUUUUAGGACUGGGCUCUUGGAUUAUUAUUAAUAUUGGCAAGGUACAGGCGGCUUUCAAAAGAACAAUGCUCUAAUGUUUGUGAACUCAUUAAAAAACCCAUCUGCUGGGUGGCUUCUGCAGAUCAGAGAGAGCAGAAUCAAUAGGCACACACACACAAAAUAGAACUUAAGAACAGGAAACACAAUUUGAGUUGAGUUUUGCUUUUCAAUGUGGGAAUUGUUUCAAAAAGCUCAUUUACAAAUAUAUAUAUAUGGCUGUGGUGAGCAGCCUUUUGCAGUAGGUGCACACACACAUAUUUUUCAAAGGACUUGUGGGGAUCAAAUUGCGUCUGAUGAAAAACACAACAUAAAACGUCUUGUGCCUGUGGCUUCGUCAUGCUGGCCAUAUGACCCGGAAUCUGUCUGCGGACAGAAGUCGGCUCCCUUUGCCAGUAAAGUGAGAUGAGUGCCACAACCCCAGAGUCGUUCAUGACUGGACUUAACGGUCAGGGGUCCCUUUACCUUUACCCCUCUCUCUAUGGGCUCUGCCACACUUUCACUCAUGCCGUGCCUGGAAAGCAUGGAUCUGGGCCACUUUCUAGGCAUGGCUUUGAGCAGCUUUCGUCUUGCCCCACUCCUUUCCUAGGGAAAACCCACUCUUUGGCGGUACAUUGGAACAAACUGCAAUCCAGGGGAAAUCUGGAAUGAUCGUUUGCUCCAACUGAGUGCUAAACAGCAGUUUUCCCCAGGUGAAAGCAGCGGGACAACAGGAAGUGUGGACAGGGACAAAUAAAAGAGGACACCUUCGCCCUGGUAUUGCUCCCCAUUAUUAUACACACAGCCCUACAAGACAACAACAAGAACCCACCAACAGCAUCCAAACUGAUAUGACUCACUUGACCCAAAAACCUCUCCCUCCACACGCAUGCAAACAAGCCUCGCUGCAGUCAGCGGAAGCUACCAACCAGGCCCAGACCCCAGACCCGCGCCCCCCAAACCUCUCUCAAUACCAAUGAAAACUAAUACAGUAAAGGAAUAGAAAGAGAACCUACCCACGUGACACUGACACAAAACCUCACACACACACACUAUGCAAAAGAAUGAAAGUUUUAUUACCCACCUUCCCUCCUUCCCCACUCCCCCUCCCCUGCCCUUAUACCGUAUACAAAAUCAAAGUCUCACAUUGAAUAUCACUGAUGUGUAGAAAGGACUUUAUGAUGUGAAAAUAGAGAUGGUGUGUGUACCUUGUAAAACCCCGCUCCCCAUCUUAAUACAGUCAUACCUCAGAAGUUGAAUAGAAUCUGUUCCGGAAGGCUAUUCAACUUCCAAAACAUUCGGGAACCAAGGCAUGGUCCUGCAGCCAAUCGGAAGCCGCGGAAGCUGUGUUGGACAUUCAGAUUCCAAAGAACGUUCACAAACCAGAACAAACACUUCCAGGUUUGCUGCAUUCAGGAACCAAAACCAAAAGGUGUUUGACUUCUGAGGUACGACUGUAUCUUAAUAAAAAUAUUUUUUUUAAAGAGGAAAUGUGGAUAAGGCCUUUCCCUCACAUGGCCUAAGGGAAGAUUGGAAGCUGUCGCCUCUGCUUUUACUCACCAGAAUUAUCCAUCAAUGCUCUGAUUAAGGUACGGUUAGUUCAAACCAGCCAGGAUCGAUCCAUGGUGUAUGUGCCUGGCUUCUUCACUAACCUUAGUUUACUAACCCAAGUUCAAGCUUAGGCUGUGUAUACCCUAAUCUUUUCUCUGGCUCCACUGGGCCCCCACCACUGCAGAUUGUAGCAGUAUCUACAAUUCAUAUCUGGUCGUUUCUUGAGAAAGGCUGCUGUUUGAUGUGUUUUCUCUCAAACCAGCUUCCCUCCAAUUAAAAAAUGUAAGCUACACUCGCUUUGCAGUUGAGCUGACGUGUGUACACUUAAGAUGUCAUGGUGUACGUGUAGACGACAACUUCAUGAAUGAGUUCAGGGCAUUGCAGGCAUGGGAAAAUCUAAAAGGUGAUGUGCAGGGCUUUUUUUCAGCCAGAACUCGCCGGAACCCAGACCCGGCAUCUCUUAGGUGGGCACCAUUGCCAUUAUAAGAGAACAAGAGAGGCAUUCAUGGUGAGUUCUGGCACCCUUUUUCUAGAAAGUAGUGCUGGUAAUGUGCAUCAGGCAAAGCCAUCCCUGCCCCCUCUCGGGUGUGUACAGCAAUGUGCAAAAGCCCCUGGAAAUGGGCUGGGGGGCCAAAUCGACCUUGUUGCAUUUUAAGCCAUUAAUAGCCUUUAUAUGAAUUUCUGGUUAGUUCAUAAAUGGAAACAGAUGUUUCUGAUCUCCUCACAGCUGUGCCAGAGAAGGAGGGCAGGCACAUGAGCUUUGAGGCUGCUUCAAGCUCAUUCACGUAAAGCUUAGCAACUGUUUCGGGUUCCAUCUGAAUUAGUUUGAACCAGCCCAUUGAGCUUCUGUCAUUUGGAGAUACAGUAUUCAAUUUGGCGUGUUGAUUUUUCUCAUUGUCAGAAACACUUCUAACUGGGGGCUGCCAUCCAGUGGUACUCCUGGUGGUUUGUGGAAGACUUCUGAGAUGCAGUGCUCCCUGAAUUCAGUAACAGCUUACGACAAACAUGAAAAGUGUUGUGGCAAUCACGGUUCUAUUCCACACACACACACAAACACUGUUAGCCUUACAGAAUGGUACAGUGCGGCACUGUUUCACUAGCUGUGAAAACAGCUGUUAUUGCAGAACCAUCUCCCCAUGAUCCAUCAUGAAAAUUGUACGAAGGUUGGGUGGAAGAACUUACUGUUGCAUAGAAGAGGGGAUUCGGUAUGGCACAGCUGGGGUCUGAGCACAGCAACCACCCACCGCUGCAUGAACUAUGAGGCUUCCUCUGUUACUUCUUAAUAGAUAUUGGAAAUCAAUAAAAUAAAACCCUCCCACUAAAAUUAGGACUGAUUAAAUACUAUGGCAACAGUAUGGGAUCCUCAGCUGUUACUGCAUUUGAACAAUAAGGCAAAUGGGGCUUAAAUGGGUCCAGGGUUAUUUAUUGCUCCUUGUUCAAAAGUGUUGCAUGGACCAAGUCCUUCUUCACAGCUUGCUAUGGGCGUAAGCCAUGAUGCAAGGACUGGAAGAGACUGGCCGUUUAUGCCUCUGCACUGUAGCAUUAGCAAUGUUUUUGUUUUCUAGCCUGACCUUCAACAUGUCUUUUAAGUGUAGGUCAGGGGUAGGCAACCUAAGGCCCAGGGGCCGAAUGCGGCCCAAUCACCUUCUCAAUCUGGCCCGUGGACAGUCUGGGAAUCAGCGUGUUUUUACAUGAGUAGAAUAUGUGCUUUUAUUUAAAAUGCAUCUCUGGGUUAUUUGUAGGGCAUAGGAAUUCGUUCACCCCCCCCAAAAAAAAAAUAUAUAGUCCGGCCCACCACAUGGUCUGAGGGACAUGGCUGAGAAAGUUUGCUGACCCCUGAUGUAGGUAGUCACAACACAGGCCUUGUACUUUGCAGCAAUAACAUUGCUUAGAGUUUGGGGUGGGGGAGGAAAUAGGCUGUAUGCAAGAUCCUUUUAACUCCUGGAUCCAGGAAGUGUUAAAAUAUAACCAGGCUGUGUUGAGGUGAUCGCCUGGGUGAUGGGCCAUUCAGAGAACAAACAAAAGCAGGCUUUGUGAGAGAUGGCAAGUGGCUGGGGCCCCUCCUUCAACUCAGAGAUAGCUAGAAGAACAAAGCCUGAGUUGAGAGUUGAGAGUGAAGGGAUGUGACCUAGAAAUAAAGCAGAAAGCUGGAGAGAGAGGCAGAGCAAUGUUUGAUUUCUGUUUUAAUCCAAGGCUGUGGCUAUGGGAGAAACAAGACUCUCUGAAUCACAGAAUCAUCAAGUUGGAAGGGACCUCAAGAGUCAUGCAAUGCAGGAAUCUCAACUAAAGCAUCUAUGACAGACGGCCAUCAGACGGAAUCAGUUUAUUCAGAAACAGGUUAAAGUGGGAGUUCUUAAAUACCUCCGUGAAGAGGUUUUGACUUAAACACAGUAUUGUGCUUUUUUUAGAGUAACCAUCAAGCUAUAACCCUCACUGAGUGUGUUUAAAUAAACUUCCAGUUUAUUUAAUGCUUCAUUGUUACUUUGCUACUCUGGUUGAAGGAUAAGAGGCCACAGGUUUCCCCUUCAAAUUAUUAACGAUCCUUGCUGCUGAAUAUUAGAAAAUGCUCCCACAUACAGAUAAUAUCAAACCUCUCAAGUAUUACUGACAGGGUGUGUCUAGAUUUUCCAGCACCCAAAUCUGAUCACAUUACCUCACUCCCAUCUUUAUUGAGGGAGGUUGCCACACACCCCAACACACUACCUUUGUGUUUUGUAUGACACAGAUUCACGUGUCAAUCCCUUUGCACACGUAUUAGGGAGUAAGCCUCAUGGAACAAUCUGGGAUUUCGAAUAAUAUAUGCCCAAACAGGAUCUAGUAAGAGAUGGGGAGCAGGUGGCGAUGUGGUCUAAGCCACUGAGCCUCUCAGGCUUGCUGAUCAGAAGGUUAGCGGUUCAAAUCUAUGUGACGGGGUGAGCUCCCAUUGCUCUGUCCCAGCUCCUGCCAACCUAGCAGUUCGAAAGCACGCCAGUGCAAGUAGAUAAAUAGGUACCGCUGUGGCGGGAAGGUAAACGGCGUUUCUGUGCACUCUGGCUUCCAUCACGGUGUUCCAUUGCACCAGAAGCGGUUUAGUCAUGCUGGCCACAUGACCCAGAAAGCUGUCUGUGGACAAAUGCUGGCGCCCUCAGCCUGAAAACGAGAUGAGCGCCGCUCCCCAUGGUUGCCUUUGACUGGACUUAACUGUCCAGGACCCCUUUACCUUUUACCUUUAUAGUAAGAGCUGUUCAACAGUGGAACAGAUUCCCACAAGAGGUGGUGGACUUUCCUUCCUUGGAGGUUUUAAAGCAGAGGUUAGAUGGCGUAAGGGCCAGAAUAAUAGUUGGGCAAUAUGAAAUCCAAUGCAAUAGUUGUGCUAGCUGCCAGAUGCCUCCAGGCACCUCCUUUUCCUUUCAGUUUCUCACGUGGCUCUAUAAAUUUGGAGCAAAUAAUGCUUUUGCCAAAAAUUAUUCCUGUCCCCAGAUUUCCUGCUUGCAGAAUCUGUAGUAGCUCAACCAUUACAAACAGCCACUGCAAGUGUUUACAGAAGAUUCCUCCCCGUGCUUUCAGGGCAUAUUAGAAGACUCAGAUUUUCACACACAAUUAUUAGUGAAUAGGGCAGAAGAUUGAUUAACUCCAUUAGGGAGUAGUUAAUGGAUGGGCUAGUCUGGUUUUUUCUUUGCUUCAGUUGUGUAUGGUGAAAAUUCUUGGCAGCACAGGGGAUAUUAACAGAGACACAAUGUUCAGCCAGGCCCCACUCCAGCUGUAGUUGUGUGCAAUUAGUGCAUAGCUAAUGACGGCUCUAGAGGUGGAUAUGUGGAUUCCUGUUUGCAGCAAAAGAUGUAUCUAGAUUCUAGGCAGUUCAAUUGGCCCCACAUAAGCAAUGCACUAUGGAUGCACAUCCAGACAUUUGCAAAGUCUGCAGAGUUCUGCCAAACUCUGAUCUUUUGCUUCCUAUUGUAAGCUUUAAAUCAUGGGUAGGCAAACUAAGGCCCGGGGGCCGGAUUCGGCCCAAUCGCCUUCUAAAUCCAGCCCACGGAUGGUCCAGGAAUCAGUGAGUUUUUACAUGAGUAGAAUGUGUCCUUUUAUUUAAAACGCAUCUCUGGGUUAUUUGUGGGGCCUGCCUGGUGUUUUUACAUGAGCAUAGAGAGAGAGAGCUCUUUGAAAAUGUGCACCAAUCUAUUUGGUUUUCUAGUAAGGGGGGCAUUCUUUCUUUUCCAUAGUUUUUGCAAUUUUAAUUUUAAAACCAUACAUAUUAAGGAGAAGGAGGAGGCGGCAGGGGGAGAGAGAUCCACAGUGCUUCAUUUAUAGAAAACGACAACUAUUUAAAUAGCUUCUACCUUUGCCCAGAAGCAUAUAACCUCCUCUCCCUUUAUAGGCUUUCCCCCCUGUGUUUCAUCAGCACAUCUCAGCAUUGAUUGCAAUCUAUAGACUGCAAGGUCUAGAUUAAGAGUCACGUGACUUUUAGCCUCUGGGCAAUGCAUUCAGCCAUUAUCGGUUGUCCAUCCAAGCAAAGAGAAGCCUUCCUGUGUUACCAGGAGCCUUUGGGAAUACGUUAGCCUUGAAUCUCGCCUCUGAAAUGCUGGAAAAAAUAAAUAAGGUGCCACCCUUUUUCUGUGCAGAUGGAAGUUCUGCAUCGAGCAAGAGCAGCUUAAAGGGGAGACUCUUUAUGAGUGAAAUUAAUUGGUAAAGCUCCUUAGCCUAAAACUCCAAAUGAAUAAUAAAAAGUCUAGCUUCAUCACUAACAUAUGAGCCAGAAAUUGGGAGUUUUUCAUAUAGCAGGAGACAUCAACCAUCAUCCAAUGAUUUCAUACCAUGAGUGCUUCAUAAGGUAAGCUAGAAAUCAGAAGAGCAGGGGCUGCCCUGUUCAUUUUGAGUAUGAAAAUAUUUCAUGCAAAGAUGCUGAUUUUAGGGGGGUGGGGUGGGAUGAUAACAACUGACUGGUGCACUUUUACAAAACAAAAUCAGGUUUCCUAUUGAAAAUUCUUGCUCUUUGUUUAAAUUAUUGAUUUUUGUUUUUGUUUUUGUACUACACUCCCCAUAGUGCCCCAGGUUUACAUUUAAAAUGAAGCUCCUCUUCCACUUGAGCCAGCGGACUUGCUAAAGUUGCAGCCACAGCAAAGCUGAGAAAGGUUCCGAUUCCAAGUGGGAAACUGGAAUCUUCCUUGUAAGCAGACCUUCUCAUGAAUGAGCACCCAAGUAAGAGUCCUGCUUAUUCGUAUUAUGCUUCUCUAACAGCCUUCCUCAACCUAGUGCCCUCCAGAUGUUUUGAACUACAACUCCCAUGAUGCACAACCACACUGGCUAUUCUUGCUGGGGCUUAUGGGACACAUAGUCCAAAAACUGUGGAGGGCACCAGGCUGGGGGAGGAUUUUCUGUCAGUUUUAUACUAGUUUAAUUACCAUUCCUUUCUCCACAGAAUCCUGGGAAUUGUAGUUCAGUGACCCUGUUGAAAACUCUGUUAGAAAUUCCUAGUGACUGCUGCACUCCUUUACAUAACUACAGUUCCCAAGGUCCACCGCCCGGGCAACAGCAAAUAAUUAUUAACACCGUUUGCCUGUAGUGUGCAUAUGCCUCAAAAAGAAAAAGCCAUGGGGGUUUUCCUCUAGCGAAUUCAACAGCACAGUCUCUUCUUACAGCUACAUUUCUCAGUUUUCCUAAUUAAUGUGUGACAAAUGUUGAGAAAGUCGGGGAGGGGGGAAGGGAGGCAAGUAGCUUUGAAAAUACUUCCCACCUUGAUUUUUGGAAUCACGUUUGGGAUGAUUCAAGGCCCUUUUACUUCCGUCUGUCGUUCACAGUAGUGAGCACAAAAAAAUAAAUAGAAGUGCUUUGACGGUGGGGUUGCUGCUUCUCCUUGGCCCAGUCCCACAAGUAACCUUCAGAAAAGGGAGAUUGCACAGAAUAAAGAAGAUGCUCCUAUGUUUUGCCCAGUAGCACUACUGGUAACCAGGGCAAGGAGCCCCAAGCAGCACCUUGGGAUCUAAGGUCUACAGCUGUUCUCCAAGCCUAUAGCAUCAUCUCAGGCCAGCCUAAGAGCUAUAGCUUCGAGGAGGAAAUGGCUGGUUCUGCACAACAUGGAGUCUCUGUGCUGUAAGGAUGGGGAGAACUAAGAGGUAUCAGCCACAGAAGCUUCCAUUAAUUUCCCCCUCAGCCCUGAGCCAGUUUCAACCGAAUAAUAAUAACUGAUGAAACACAUCAGAGGCAGCCUGAACCAGCUGUGGGAAAGUGAGGCUGCGCCAUUUUGAAUAAGGCUACCUACCUCCACAACCUGUCAGGGAUGACAACUGAUAGCCAAUUGUUUGGACUUACUUAAGUCGGCUAGAAAAGAGAGGGAAUGAUGGGCUCAUGAUGACCAACUGGGUGACUGAUGGAGCCCAGCUCUGCUACAAAGAAAUCUUCUCCUUGCAGAUAUUUGGAGUGAUGGCAACACCCACUUCUGACGGAUCCGUCGAGAAAAUGUUGGGAAAUGUGCAUCUGUGUUUAUUUUUGUAACAUGAUAGCUUUCUAUAAAGGCCCUUUCUAGACAGCCUGCAAGACUUUCACCAUGGAAACCAUUAGGCUUGGCAAUUUAUUUUUGUAGCUGUUAAAAGAUCUGCAUCACCCGGGCUCUGAAUUUUUAUACUGAUUCAGCUAGAAAUUGAGCAGCAAGAGGAAUAAAAAUUCCCUCCCUUCGUGCAUUCAACUAAAACUAUCCAUGCCAUGACAUUUUGUUCAACCUUAGUAUUAUUUCCCCAUACAUGUCACCUCUCCCCUUAUGGAUGACACAGUCAAGUUGUUACCUUUUGCAUUUAUUUAUAAGCAAAGAAAAGAAAAUGGAGAGGCUUUCAUCUUCUUGGCAACCACAUCCUCUGACCUGGUUUCUCCUAUAUGUGAGGAUACAUAGAAUGGUCAAGGACCAUAUAUUCUGCUGAAGUGCUAAAUAUGCAGGAUGUGGAAACAGCCACAGAAGUCACGCCAUGUUGAGAAUCUCAGCAUUUUUAAAAGGAGCAAGUUUCCAGUCCCUAUGGCCAUGAAGAUACACUUUAAAAUGUGCAGGAAAUACUUCCUGGAAUCUCAGAAGGUUGAAGGGGAGGCUGAAACAGAGUUUCAGGUCAGGCACAGAAUGUCAACACUCUGCAGGGCUCCUCAUCCCCUCCAUACAGCUGGCAAAAUCAGAGAUUGUGCAUAGGAUGCAAACUGCAGAAAUGUUCAGAAUUCAUUAUACAAAAUAAGACAGAUUACCGAAUUUUCAUAAUUUAUACCAGACGCAGAAUUCGGCUUUCCUUGCUGCACGGUUCAGAUUGCCAAUGUAACAAAUUUAUCAUCAAUUUUGCACAUGGCCCAAACCAUGGUGUCUUUAUUUAUAUGCUUUUCUUUUGUUUGCCUUGCGUACUCAAAGAGUCUACUCAACAGACAGAGAUACUGCUUUGUGCAGAUGCAUUCUUUCAUAUACCCUGGAGUGUUGGGGAAAGGACUCGGGAUUAUAGUUAGGCUUUACUCACUGGCUGUUCUCCUAACAAGAAACAAAAUCAUCAGCAUUCAAAGAAGAUGGUGAGAGAAUGCUCCUAAAUCCUCCCAAACCAAAAGAUAUUUUUUUUCUCCACCCGGUCAUUCGUUGGGUUUGUUAUGCUCCCAAUAAGCAGCUUUUGUGGUCAUUACGGGUCCCUACUGUGCUCUGAAAUUUACUCAUCCAGAUAAGCUGUUUACUGCAUCCUGAAUGCCAUAACCUUCUCCCAUGACCUUAAUCAUUCUAAUGAACAGUCUAUGUUGGAAAGGGAGUCAUUUUCACAGUCUUUUAGGCUUGGCUGCAACCAAACAUACCUGCAAAAAGCCUUUCAAAGGGGUCCCACCCUCUUAAUUUAUCUGCACCCUUUACAGUUUGGUUCCUAAUGGGAACUCCAUGCUCAGUUCACGCCUUUGAGUCCAGCUCCAAAACGUUGCCAUCUGGAUUCUUAGAGCUCAGGGGAAGGGGACCUGAGGUCACAAACCUGAAACAUGCUCUUAACCUUUCAUGUUAAGAUGGGAUAUUGCUCUUAAAAAAGAAAGAAAGAAUGAGUGCAAGCACUUUGGAGGUGCUAAGGCGUCAUUUGUUGUUGUUCCUCUGCCUGCCUGCCUCCCCUGCUCUUCUGAAGCAACAGAGAUGCCAGGCUAGCAGAUCUGCAGCAGUGAAUUAAAUGUACUGACACGGUAAUAAUACACAGUGCAGAUGAACCUGCAAGAGCCAGCCUCCGCUUCUGCAGUGCUGCGAUGAAUGGGCUCCUUGUGACUUUCACAGAGCAGCCACUGCAGCACAAGAAAACAGAGAGGUGUGUUGCUUGCCAAAAGCUGAUUAACAAGCAAAUAGAAUAUAGAUGGACAUGGGAAUGCAAAAAGAGGGGGGGUAACACUGGGUGAAGGAUGCUCCCCCAAACCUUUAGUUUAACUGCUGAGCAGGACAGAGAGAAUGCACAGCACCCUAUGGCAUCUUAAAGACUAAUAUAAUUGUUGCGGAGAGAAGAGCUUUCGUAGACAUGAUGAUAAUCGUGUACACUGAUUUUCCCCACCCCUCCCGGGCCUUCAGCAUCUCCUGGCAAUGAGAAAUGUGCCGGCCUUUUAAGAUGCCGUGGAUUCUUCACUGCCUAUGUUAAGACACACCAAGAUUAGGGCUCUCUUUUGGAAUAAGCCACAGAAAAGUGAUCGUGCAGUCAGCAAAGAGAGGGUUAAGAUUCCUUUCUCUUCUUGCUGUAACCCGCUCUCCUCCGAACAGGACCUGACAGCGAGUUGGUGUGAGUUUGCAUUUCCCCUUCAAGCUGAAAUUUAAUCCCACGAAACAUUAAUAUCUCUGGAACCAGCAAUGGCGGUGGGGAGAUUUGCAAAGAAAUGUUUGCUGACUCAUGAAAGCUGGUAGAUCUUGUUCUCUCCGAGAAAUAAAAAGAGCUGGCUUCCCAAUGCCUGCCUGUUAUACGGUGGGAUGGGACCAAUGAACACACCAGGUUCUGAGGCGUUCUCCAAACAGUCAAAUUGGAGUUGCAAAUGAAAUGCUCUGGCCAGAUUUAUGCUGAAAAUUUAUAUGGUGAUCAUUUCCCCUUCCCGGGGAAAUGUAAAGAGUUGAGCUCUGUGAGGUGGAAGAAGCCAGGGGGCUCGUAACACAGAAAUCCACAACACCUCACCAAACUCCAAUUCUGAAUAUUAUUCAGAGAGAAAAACAGGAAAGGUAUAAAAGCUACAUGUUUGUGCAGUUGUGCUGUUUGUUGCUAUUAUUGAAGUUACUGGGUAGGUACGUCUAAGCCACAGAGCUGGAAGGUAGGAUCGAACCAUAGGCCUCCACACAUAAGUAGACAUAGCCAAGGUUGUUUCGGGAAUGGCUGAUCUAGGGCAGGCCGGCAGGGUUUCUGACUCCCUGAGUCAAAUGCAGACAAGCAGCCAAAUACUUGGGUGUUCCUGGUGACUGACAAUCCACACUAUUUUGGCACUGCCCAGCAGGCAGCAAACAUUGGGGCUUGACUGUGCAAGGCUGACACAAGGAAAUAAGGUAAAAGAUGCCUGCUUCUUGGGAGAAAAGCAAUGACAAACCUAGACAGCAUCUUAAAAAGCAGAGACAUCACCUUGCCAACAAAGGUCCGUAUAGUAAAAGCUAUGGUUUUCCCAGUAGUGAUGUAUGGAAGUGAGAGCUGGACCAUAAAGAAGGCUGAUCGCCAAAGAAUUGAUGCUUUUGAAUUAUGGUGCUGGAGGAGACUCUUGAGAGUCCCAUGGACUGCAAGAAGAUCAAACCUCUCCAUUCUGAAGGAAAUCAGCCCUGAGUGCUCACUGGAAGGACAGAUCGUGAAGCUGAGACUCCAAUACUUUGGCCACCUCAUGAGAAGAGAAGACUCCCUGGAAAAGACCCUGAUGUUGGGAAAGACUGAGGGCAGAAGGAGAAGGGGACGACAGAGGACGAGAUGGUUGGACAGUGUUCUCGAAGCUAUGAACAUGAGUUUGACCAAGCUGCGGGAGGCAGUGGAAGACAGGAGUGCCUGGCGUGCUCUGGUCCAUGGGGUCACGAAGAGUCGGACACGACUAAACGACUAAACAACAACAUACAACACUAUGCAAAGCUUGGCUAGUCACAACCCAUACAGACCUGCUUAUCAUCCAUAAAUAGCCCUUGUUUAUAUGGAUACCAAAUGCAAGGGUUGUUUUGGAUGUAAACUCUUGUGCUGACCCGUAACCCUUAUGCUGUACUGUUCUUGUAGCACAUUGUAAAAUCCACCAUCUAGUCCAACCACCUGCCAUGCAGGAAUAUGCAGCUGUCCCAGACUCGAACCUGCAACCUUGGCAUUAUCAGCACCAUGCUCUAGCCGUCUGAGCUAUCCAGCUGAUCAAUAUGCCAAGGUCACUCACCUGAGAUAAAAGUGGCAAAUCUAGUGCCUUGACUAAGCAAGGGCUCUCCCUUUUCUCUCUCGCUUGCAGUGCUUCACUGCUGAACAUGUUAAUCACUGCCGAGACUGAAAUAACCUAAGGGAAUAUCAUCCCAGAAUUAUGUAUUCCAUUAACAAGCCUUCUACUUUAAGUCUGUAUGCAAUAUUCAGAAGUAACAGAGUGGGAACUUCUCUCCUGAUUUGAUUCUCCAUCUUUCAGACUCAGCAGGUUGAGAAUUUGGAGGAUGCCCAUUUUAAAAAGGAAAGAUUCUGGAUGAGAUUCACUGAAAAAUUGACAUCUCUGAGGGAGCCAUGCCUGUGCCACUCAAUACCAGCUAAAAAUGUCAAUGUCCCUAUUCAAUCUGCAGCUGUGUGUAUUUACUGAUGUAAUUGAAAGUCCAGCC